This 1238-nucleotide ribosomal RNA is filed under the name metagenome. RNAcentral describes it as "bacterial SSU rRNA". It matches the Rfam family "Bacterial small subunit ribosomal RNA", at positions 8 to 1268 of the family's 1533-position model. The record is from RNAcentral.
AGAGUUUGAUCCUGGCUCAGGACGAACGCUGGCGGCGCGCCUAACACAUGCAAGUCGAACGAGCGAGAGAGAGCUUGCUUUCUCGAGCGAGUGGCGAACGGGUGAGUAACGCGUGAGGAACCUGCCUCAAAGAGGGGGACGACAGUUGGAAACGACUGCUAAUACCGCAUAAGCCCACAGUGCCGCAUGGUACAGAGGGAAAAGGAGCAAUCCGCUUUGAGAUGGCCUCGCGUCCGAUUAGCUAGUUGGUGAGGUAACGGCCCACCAAGGCGACGAUCGGUAGCCGGACUGAGAGGUUGAACGGCCUCAUUGGGACUGAGACACGGCCCAGACUCCUACGGGAGGCAGCAGUGGGGAAUAUUGCACAAUGGGGGAAACCCUGAUGCAGCGACGCCGCGUGGAGGAAGAAGGUCUUCGGAUUGUAAACUCCUGUUGUUGGGGAAGAUAAUGACGGUACCCAACAAGGAAGUGACGGCUAACUACGUGCCAGCAGCCGCGGUAAAACGUAGGUCACAAGCGUUGUCCGGAAUUACUGGGUGUAAAGGGAGCGCAGGCGGGAAGACAAGUUGGAAGUGAAAUCUAUGGGCUCAACCCAUAAACUGCUUUCAAAACUGUUUUUCUUGAGUAGUGCAGAGGUAGGCGGAAUUCCCGGUGUAGCGGUGGAAUCGUAGAUAUCGGGAGGAACACCAGUGGCGAAGGCGGCCUACUGGGCACCAACUGACGCUGAGGCUCGAAAGUGUGGGUAGCAAACAGGAUUAGAUACCCUGGUAGUCCACACCGUAAACGAUGAUUACUAGGUGUUGGAGGAUUGACCCCUUCAGUGCCGCAGUUAACACAAUAAGUAAUCCACCUGGGGAGUACGACCGCAAGGUUGAAACUCAAAGGAAUUGACGGGGGCCCGCACAAGCAGUGGAGUAUGUGGUUUAAUUCGACGCAACGCGAAGAACCUUACCAAGUCUUGACAUCCCUUGACAGGCAUAGAAAUAUGUUUUCUCUUCGGAGCAAGGAGACAGGUGGUGCAUGGUUGUCGUCAGCUCGUGUCGUGAGAUGUUGGGUUAAGUCCCGCAACGAGCGCAACCCUUAUGGUCAGUUACUACGCAAGAGGACUCCGGCCAGACUGCCGUUGACAAAACGGAGGAAGGUGGGGAUGACGUCAAAUCAUCAUGCCCUUUAUGACUUGGGCUUCACACGUACUACAAUGGCGUUAAACAAAGAGAAGCAAGACCGCGAGGUGGAGC